UAACUGAAGAGUUUGAUCAUGGCUCAGAUUGAACGCUGGCGGCAGGCUUAACACAUGCAAGUCGAGCGAGGGAAGGUAGCUUGCUACCGGACCUAGCGGCGGACGGGUGAGUAAUGCUUAGGAAUCUGCCUAUUAGUGGGGGACAACAUCUCGAAAGGGAUGCUAAUACCGCAUACGUCCUACGGGAGAAAGCAGGGGAUCUUCGGACCUUGCGCUAAUAGAUGAGCCUAAGUCGGAUUAGCUAGUUGGUGGGGUAAAGGCCUACCAAGGCGACGAUCUGUAGCGGGUCUGAGAGGAUGAUCCGCCACACUGGGACUGAGACACGGCCCAGACUCCUACGGGAGGCAGCAGUGGGGAAUAUUGGACAAUGGGGGGAACCCUGAUCCAGCCAUGCCGCGUGUGUGAAGAAGGCCUUAUGGUUGUAAAGCACUUUAAGCGAGGAGGAGGCUACUUUAGUUAAUACCUAGGGAUAGUGGACGUUACUCGCAGAAUAAGCACCGGCUAACUCUGUGCCAGCAGCCGCGGUAAUACAGAGGGUGCGAGCGUUAAUCGGAUUUACUGGGCGUAAAGCGUGCGUAGGCGGCUUAUUAAGUCGGAUGUGAAAUCCCCGAGCUUAACUUGGGAAUUGCAUUCGAUACUGGUGAGCUAGAGUAUGGGAGAGGAUGGUAGAAUUCCAGGUGUAGCGGUGAAAUGCGUAGAGAUCUGGAGGAAUACCGAUGGCGAAGGCAGCCAUCUGGCCUAAUACUGACGCUGAGGUACGAAAGCAUGGGGAGCAAACAGGAUUAGAUACCCUGGUAGUCCAUGCCGUAAACG
Molecule: ribosomal RNA, 813 nt
Filed under: Acinetobacter baumannii
Lineage: Bacteria; Pseudomonadati; Pseudomonadota; Gammaproteobacteria; Moraxellales; Moraxellaceae
Description: bacterial SSU rRNA
Rfam family: Bacterial small subunit ribosomal RNA
Source: RNAcentral